RNAcentral lists this ribosomal RNA (84 nucleotides) under Stutzerimonas stutzeri. Lineage: Bacteria; Pseudomonadati; Pseudomonadota; Gammaproteobacteria; Pseudomonadales; Pseudomonadaceae. The record is from RNAcentral.
UCCCAUCCCGAACUCAGUAGUGAAACGACGCAUCGCCGAUGGUAGUGUGGGGUCUCCCCAUGUGAGAGUAGGUCAUCGUCAAGC